RNAcentral lists this ribosomal RNA (30 nucleotides) under Cuphea sessiliflora. RNAcentral's name for it is "partial 18S ribosomal RNA". The record is from RNAcentral. Lineage: Eukaryota; Viridiplantae; Streptophyta; Magnoliopsida; Myrtales; Lythraceae.
CGAAUCCUGCAAAAGCAGACGACCAGAGAA